AUUGAACGCUGGCGGCAUGCCUUACACAUGCAAGUCGAACGGCAGCACGGACUUCGGUCUGGUGGCGAGUGGCGAACGGGUGAGUAAUACAUCGGAACGUGCCCAGUAAUGGGGGAUAACGCAGCGAAAGUUGUGCUAAUACCGCAUACGCCCUGAGGGGGAAAGUGGGGGAUCGCAAGACCUCAUGUUAUUGGAGCGGCCGAUGGCUGAUUAGCUAGUUGGUGAGGUAAAGGCUCACCAAGGCGACGAUCAGUAGCUGGUCUGAGAGGACGACCAGCCAGACGGGGACGGCGACACGGCCCAGACUCCUACGGGAGGCAGCAGUGGGGAAUAUUGCACAAUGGGCGCAAGCCUGAUGCAGCCAUGCCGCGUGUAUGAAGAAGGCCUUCGGGUUGUAAAGUACUUUCAGCGGGGAGGAAGGCGGUGAAGUUAAUAACUUCACCGAUUGACGUUACCCGCAGAAGAAGCACCGGCUAACUCCGUGCCAGCCGCCGCGGUAA
RNAcentral lists this ribosomal RNA (500 nucleotides) under uncultured bacterium. Its description in RNAcentral is "partial 16S ribosomal RNA". It matches the Rfam family "Bacterial small subunit ribosomal RNA", at positions 29 to 523 of the family's 1533-position model. The record is from RNAcentral.